AAGGAAAUGUCAUAAAGAUAAAGGCUAAGAGGCCCAAUCUUUAAAAAGAGCUGUGAAAAGGGUAGGAAAUAAACAACAACACAAGAUGGGGAAAAUGACAGGACUGAUGUGAUUUCCAUGGGUGGAAAAUUCCACCAAAUUGUAAAUAGUUUCUCUUCCUAAGUUCACAGUAAGAUUGUCAGUGCUGAUAAACUACACCUAGGAGAUGCCAAGUUGGGAAGAUGACAUCUUUCAAGGAUGUGGAAUCCAAUUCUCCCUUCAGAGAUGGGAAAAAAGGAGUGGGCCAUCAUGAAAGCAUUGGGGCAACACAGGGGGCGGAGUCAAGAUGGUGGCUUAGCAAGCAGCAAAAGUUCAGACCUUGUGGAAGACCCUUCCUUAACCGAUACAGACUGAAUGCUCCUAGGGCACCGAAAUUCAAGCUGAACAACAGGACAGAAGCGGGGAACCCUCCUUCUGGAUUCAAAUCAAAAGGUACGCCCCCCAAAAGCUGGAAUCCGGGAAUACUCAGGGCUAAGGGGAAGGCAGAGCGAAGGUCCCAAGACCCCUCCCCCACAACCCAGAGGGCUGAGCCCCCAGCAGCAGCAGCGGGAACCUCUGAGCGGGCAAAGGUGCUGGUUUGGAGGGUCUACUUUGUGAGCAGCGGGGCGCCGGGUUCGGAGCAUCCAGCUUGGACAGCGGGGAGGAAGCCAGGGAGAGACGGGAGCCGUGACUGGGUCCCUCCAUCAGGCUCCAGUCUCACCGUUGCCUCGGGGCACAUCCAGACCAAUCCAGUUGAACAUAAUUCCAUCAGAACUCCUCAGAGUUUAGGGAGGCGGGCAAAGGCACUUGUGGACAGCAGAGAAGCAGCUGGAGAGAACUGGAGAGAGCCUGGGCAGCCCAGCUUUCCAGGAGUAUUCAGAGCCUCACAGCUUCAUACCACAUACAGCCCAACCCAGUUGAACUCAAUCCAAUCAAAAGCCCCCAGAGGACAGAGAAGCUAACAUUCCUCCCCUAGAGACUGUACCAAGAGAUCUGACAAAGCUCCAAGAGGGGAGACUGACAGCCCCAAAACCAAAACAAAAUGAGAGGAGUAAGAGCACAGCCAAAUACGGGGAGCAAAGAAGGGGUAAACUCGAGCAAACAACAGAAAAAGAAGAAAGAAAUUACAAUAGACAGCUUCUGCACAGGUAAUGAGCAAAAAGCGAAGGAAACAGAGGGGGAGGGAUCAGCAAAGGAAAAAUCAGAAAUCCCAGCCAAUUGGAUACAGGCUUUGGAAGAACUCAAAAUGCAAUUCAAAACACAAUUAAGAGAGGCUGAAGACAAUUGGGAAAAGAACUUAAAAACUAAGAUAAGUCAUCUGGAAACAGAAAAUAGUGUCUUGAAAGCCAAAAUCAACCAGCUGGAAAAUGAGGCAAAGGAGAUGAAAGAUGAGGCAAAGCAGAUGAAAGAUGAGGUGAAGAAGAUGAAAGAUGACCUCCAAAGCAAAUCUGUUUAGUGAACACAACACCUUGGUGACUAAAAAGAUGGCUGAACUGAUCCAUCAUGCUCAAAGAUAGCCAGCCAGCUGAGCUUUGGAAUUCUUUGACUCAAUUGCAUUGAUCAUUUCUCCAAACUGUAUUUUGUAUAUUUCCUGUGUGGAGCAAAUUAUUUAUAGGUUGCCUUCCCAAAUAGAAUGUAAGCUCCCUGAGACUGGGGAAGGUUUAUGCUAUUCCUUGUAUCCCUAGCACUUUGACACAGAACCCAAUCACAGUGAAUAUGCCUGUUGCCUAUCCAACUUACUUAACUGUUGACUAAAUUAAAAGUGUAACACUUCUCCAGUGCCCUUUUAAGAGUGCUUUUAAGUUGAAAGAUAGGGUAAAUGCUGCAUCAGUUCAAUCAUAGAAGAGAAGAGUAGAGUAAUGAGAACCAACAGAGAACUGAAAUGACUGGAAAGGAAAUUAGAGAUGAUAGAAGAAACAUAGAUAUUUGCCAAUAAGAUGAGAAUUCAAUGUACCUGAAGGA
RNAcentral lists this long non-coding RNA (1980 nucleotides) under Monodelphis domestica (gray short-tailed opossum). RNAcentral describes it as "lncRNA (ENSMODG00000037561.1)". Lineage: Eukaryota; Metazoa; Chordata; Mammalia; Didelphimorphia; Didelphidae. The record is from RNAcentral.